GACGAACGCUGGCGGCGUGCCUAAUACAUGCAAGUCGAGCGAGUCUCUUCGGAGGCUAGCGGCGGACGGGUGAGUAACACGUAGGCAACCUGCCUCUCAGACUGGGAUAACAUAGGGAAACUUAUGCUAAUACCAGAUAGGUUUUUGGAUCGCAUGAUCCGAAAAGAAAAGGCGGCUUCGGCUGUCACUGGGAGAUGGGCCUGCGGCGCAUUAGCUAGUUGGUGGGGUAACGGCCUACCAAGGCGACGAUGCGUAGCCGACCUGAGAGGGUGACCGGCCACACUGGGACUGAGACACGGCCCAGACUCCUACGGGAGGCAGCAGUAGGGAAUUUUCCACAAUGGACGAAAGUCUGAUGGAGCAACGCCGCGUGAACGACGAAGGUCUUCGGAUUGUAAAGUUCUGUUGUUAGGGACGAAUAAGUACCGUUCGAAUAGGGCGGUACCUUGACGGUACCUGACGAGAAAGCCACGGCUAACUACGUGCCAGCCGCCGCAGUAA
Molecule: ribosomal RNA, 501 nt
Filed under: uncultured bacterium
Lineage: Bacteria
Description: partial 16S ribosomal RNA
Rfam family: Bacterial small subunit ribosomal RNA
Source: RNAcentral